Molecule: ribosomal RNA, 679 nt
Filed under: uncultured bacterium
Lineage: Bacteria
Description: bacterial SSU rRNA
Rfam family: Bacterial small subunit ribosomal RNA
Source: RNAcentral
UCCUGGUGGCGAGUGGCGAACGGGUGAGUAAUACAUCGGAACGUGUCCAGUAGUGGGGGAUAGCCCGGCGAAAGCCGGAUUAAUACCGCAUACGACCUACGGGUGAAAGCGGGGGAUCGCAAGACCUCGCGCUAUCGGAGCGGCCGAUGUCAGAUUAGCUAGUUGGUGGGGUAAAGGCCCACCAAGGCGACGAUCUGUAGCUGGUCUGAGAGGACGACCAGCCACACUGGGACUGAGACACGGCCCAGACUCCUACGGGAGGCAGCAGUGGGGAAUUUUGGACAAUGGGCGCAAGCCUGAUCCAGCCAUGCCGCGUGCGGGAAGAAGGCCUUCGGGUUGUAAACUCCUUUUCUGGGGGACGAGCAAGGACGGUACCCCAGGAAUAAGUCUCGGCUAACUACGUGCCAGCAGCCGCGGUAAAACGUAGGAGGCAAGCGUUAUCCGGAUUCACUGGGCGUAAAGCGCGUGCAGGCGGUUCGGUAAGUUGGGCGUGAAAUCUCCUGGCUUAACUAGGAGAGGUCGUUCAAUACUACCGGACUUGAGAGUGAUAGAGGAAGAUGGAAUUCCCGGUGUAGUGGUGAAAUGCGUAGAUAUCGGGAGGAACACCUGUGGCGAAAGCGGCACCCUGGCCCACACCUGACGCUGAGGUGCGAAAGCGUGGGGAGUAAACAGGAUUAGA